RNAcentral lists this ribosomal RNA (509 nucleotides) under uncultured marine bacterium. Its description in RNAcentral is "bacterial SSU rRNA". It matches the Rfam family "Bacterial small subunit ribosomal RNA", at positions 94 to 621 of the family's 1533-position model. The record is from RNAcentral.
AGCGGCGAACGGGUGAGUAAUACUUGGAUAACCUGCCUUAAGGUCUGGGACAACUACAGGAAACUGUAGCUAAUACCGGAUAUGACCACACUUACUAAGGUAAGAGUGGUAAGAGAUUUAUCGCCUUUAGAUGGGUCCAAGUCGCAUCAGGUUGUUGGUGGGGUAAUGGCCUACCAAGCCUAUGACGCGUAGCAGGUCUUAGCGGAUGAUCUGCCACAUGGGGACUGAGAUACGGCCCUGACUCCUACGGGAGGCAGCAGUGAGGAAUAUUGGGCAAUGGACGCAAGUCUGACCCAGCGAUGCCGCGUGAAGGAUGAAGGCCUUAGGGUUGUAAACUUCUGUCAGCAGGGAAGAUAAUGACGGUACCUGCAUAGGAAGCCCCGGCUAACUCCGUGCCAGCAGCCGCGGUAAUACGGAGGGGGCAAACGUUACUCGGAUUUACUGGGCGUAAAGGGUCCGUAUGCGGUACUUUAAGUUAGAUGUGAAAGCUUGAUGCUUAACUUCAAAAU